RNAcentral lists this ribosomal RNA (324 nucleotides) under uncultured Veillonellaceae bacterium. Its description in RNAcentral is "bacterial SSU rRNA". It matches the Rfam family "Bacterial small subunit ribosomal RNA", at positions 1 to 339 of the family's 1533-position model. The record is from RNAcentral. Lineage: Bacteria; Bacillati; Bacillota; Negativicutes; Veillonellales; Veillonellaceae.
AGUAGUUUGACUCCGUGGCUCGAGGACGAACGCUGGCGGCGUGCUUAACACAUGCAAGUCGAACGGAACCUUCGGGUUUAGUGGCGAACGGGUGAGUAAAGCGCAGGUAAUCUGCCGCAAAGUCGGGGACAACGUCCCGAAAGGAACGCUAAUACCGGAUGUUGUGUAGGGUUUGCAUGAACUUUACACUAAAGAUUUAUCGCUUUGCGAGGAGCCUGCGUCCGAUUAGGUAGUUGGUAGAGUAAAAGCCUACCAAGCCGACGAUCGGUAGCCGGUCUGAGAGGAUGAACGGCCACAUUGGGACUGAGACACGGCCCAGACUCC